AGAGUGAACGCUGGCGGUAGGCCUAACACAUGCAAGUCGAACGGCAGCACGGUAAGAGCUUGCUCUUAUGGGUGGCGAGUGGCGGACGGGUGAGGAAUACAUCGGAAUCUACCUUUUGGUGGGGGAUAACGUAGGGAAACUUACGCUAAUACCGCAUACGCCCUUCGGGGGAAAGCCGGGGACCAGCAAUGGCCUGGUGCUGAUAGAUGAGCCGAUGUCGGAUUAGCUAGUUGGUGAGGUAAUGGCUCACCAAGGCGACGAUCCGUAGCUGGUCUGAGAGGAUGAUCAGCCACACUGGAACUGAGACACGGUCCAGACUCCUACGGGAGCAGCAGGUGGGGAAUAUUGGAACAAGUGGGCGCAAGCCUAGACU
Molecule: ribosomal RNA, 373 nt
Filed under: uncultured soil bacterium
Lineage: Bacteria
Description: bacterial SSU rRNA
Rfam family: Bacterial small subunit ribosomal RNA
Source: RNAcentral